CUACGGGAGGCUCCAGUGGGGAAUAUUGCACAAUGGGCGCAAGCCUGAUGCAGCCAUGCCGCGUGUAUGAAGAAGGCCUUCGGGUUGUAAAGUACUUUCAGCGGGGAGGAAGGGAGUAAAGUUAAUACCUUUGCUCAUUGACGUUACCCGCAGAAGAAGCACCGGCUAACUCCGUGCCAGCAGCCGCGGUAAUACGGAGGGUGCAAGCGGUAAUCGGAAUUACUGGGCGUAAAGCGCACGCAGGCGGUUUGUUAAGUCAGAUGUGAAAUCCCCGGGCUGAACCUGGGAACUGCAUCGGAUAGUGGCAAGCUUGAGUCUGGUAGAGGGGGGUAGAAUUCCAGGUGUAGCGGUGACAUGCGUAGAGAUCUGGAGGAAUACCGGUGGCGAAGGCGGCCCCCUGGACGAAGACUGACGCUCAGGUGCGAAAGCGUGGGGAGCAAACAGGAUUAGAUACCCUCGUAGUC
Molecule: ribosomal RNA, 464 nt
Filed under: uncultured bacterium
Lineage: Bacteria
Description: partial 16S ribosomal RNA
Rfam family: Bacterial small subunit ribosomal RNA
Source: RNAcentral